CAGCAGCCGCGGUAAUACAGAGGGUGCGAGCGUUAAUCGGAUUUACUGGGCGUAAAGCGUGCGUAGGCGGCUUUUUAAGUCGGAUGUGAAAUCCCUGAGCUUAACUUAGGAAUUGCAUUCGAUACUGGGAAGCUAGAGUAUGGGAGAGGAUGGUAGAAUUCCAGGUGUAGCGGUGAAAUGCGUAGAGAUCUGGAGGAAUACCGAUGGCGAAGGCAGCCAUCUGGCCUAAUACUGACGCUGAGGUACGAAAGCAUGGGGAGCAAACAGGAUUAGAUACCCCCGUAGUCCCUGUCCUCUUAUA
RNAcentral lists this ribosomal RNA (301 nucleotides) under uncultured bacterium. Its description in RNAcentral is "partial 16S ribosomal RNA". It matches the Rfam family "Bacterial small subunit ribosomal RNA", at positions 509 to 809 of the family's 1533-position model. The record is from RNAcentral.